GGGCAUGUAGAAGAAGAAAAGAGGAAGGGAGGCAUUAAGAAGGUGUCCUUCAGCAAGAAAGAAAACUCCACUUUUAUUCAUGCAUGCCUCAUCCCCUUUGUCCAUAUUUUUGUCACACAAAAAUAGGUCCCACACCCUUCCUUAUUAGACAUUAUCAUUUUCUUAGUUUGAAUUGAAUUUAAAUAAAAAGAAAGACCAAGAUAAAGAAGGAUGACUAAGGGAUGAGGGGCACCAACUAUUGGCAUCUCUUUUCUAUUCAUGCACACAAGAGCACGUCCCCAUCUCUUCUUAAUUUUUGUUGCACAAAAAUAAAAUCCCACACCCAUAUUAGAUAAGGAUCUGAUCCUAACUUGAAUCAAAUUCAAAAAAAAAGAAAUAAAUCAUGAAGAGAUAGAAUUUCAGAUAAGUGGGGCACCAACUAUUGGCGCCCUUUCUUUUCACGCACACAAGAAGCAAAGGGGAUGCGUCUCCACGCACGCCCUCCCUCCUUUCUGCAUGAGAUCAGGGGAGAGAAGCCCAAAGAAUCUAAACUCUAAGGAUUAGAUUCAAUCUAAUUCAAACUAGAUCCAAAUCAAGCUCAAAUCAAGUCCAAAUCGAAUCGAAUUUGAAAGGCUAUCAAAACUUAUCCAAUCAGGAUUGAAAUCCAAAUCUGAUUUGGAUAAUUAUACCUAAUUAGUAUUAAAUUAAAUCAAAUUCAAUUAAAUUAAAUUUGAUUUAAAUUAAUUAAAAUUUGAUUCAUAAUUUAAUCGAUCCCAAUUAAAUUAUAAUAUUUAUAAUUAAGUCCCCGUACUAACAAUUAGCAGCUAUCAAAACUGUAACACUUACAAAUUAGUAGUUUUCAAAAUUCAAAUUAUCAAUCCAUUUGAUAAUUCGAAUAUGAUCCAAACUAUUGAUCAGGUCAUGCUCCUUUUGUGUGUGACUCCUCAUAUUCUAUUCUAUCUGAUAGUGAGACAUACCAUGAUCUCCACCAUAAUAUCAUCAAAACUCCUUUCGAUGGACUGGAACGAUUUCAACUCACCUCAACAAAGAUCGUUGAUCCGAAAAUGAUCCUAGUGAGUUCUCAUGAUCCACCAGUAUGCCUAACAGUAUAUAGUGGCAACCCAGUAGAAUAAAAGAAUAAAUCUUUAGAUGCAAUUACCGUAUGAUACAGUCCCUCUAUCAAGAGUCCCGACUAGACGAAGGUCAUGAAGAACUCAUCAAUCUGAUCAUCAGUUAUAUGCCAGAUUAACUUGACUCGAGUUCAUUUAUGAAUCUGUAAAAAAAUUUUUUCAGUAUUCACACUUGCUCUGAUCAGAGACUUCCAAAAUUCAGUCUUACGAAUCGCAUAGGACUACUCUUUUUUUAUCAAGAUCGAUAGAUUCCAUCUAGGUGUAUCCUAUUCAAAACAACGAAUCUGAACCUACAAUAGCCAACAUACAUAGCAAGAAUCCGAAUGGCUAAGGAUCAAAAAAAUAUACAGUCAAACUAAGUAGCCUUGCUGCAAAUAGCCAACACACCGUAGGUCAAAAGACUAGUCAUACUACUGCAGCAUCGAGAAAAUCACUGACGAGUGAGUAGACAUCCAAAUGAUUUCUUAUGUUGGUUAUGCUCAGUGCAAAUUAUUCUCUAACAACCACCUGCACUCUCACCCUAGUAUCCUCACAUAGCAGACUCGAGACCUAUCUACCCAGAAGAAAGGUGAUCCGUGCACCGAUCUUAAAUGGAUUGAUUGCUAUUCUCUGUGAUGAUCCUAUAAUUGGAAGUAUUUAAAAAUUAACCACUAAUGAUAUAUGUCUCAAAUUUUUAAUAUCUUGAGAAUAUACAAAAUCAUCUUUGUCAAUUUUUAGGAUAAAUUAUAGAUACAUACUACAUGAUUGGUAAUAAAAAACUGUCUAUCAAGUAUAAAAAUAUAUCUUAAAGAAAUGUAUGCAUCUAUCAAGAUUGGCUUCUAAGCCACACAUCUAACAAACUCUCACUUGCACUAAAGCCUAUCUGCCAUAUACUUGAGCCCUGUCUUCUGAAGAUAGGCUUCGAUCUUUAGCUGGCUAAGUGAUUUGGGCCUACCACAUUCUAUGUAGAGUUUACUCUCUAUAUCUCUAUGUAUUUUUACUCGAGACAAUCAUGCAUAUCCCUGCUCUAUGUGCUUAGACUUCUGGUGAGACCUUGACUCCUUUAGCAAGGACUAUGGACCAUUAUCUUUGCAAUACAAUAUCAUAGCAUCCGAUGGUAUAACAUCCAACUCCGCAACUAUCAUAAGAAUCACAAUGCAUCCUGCAUAUUUACAGCAUACUCAACUUUUAUUAGUCGAUUGCUUGAAAUUUUUUCAACAUACCGAACCAACAUAACUCAAGAAUACAUACUGAUGUGGAUAUUCUACCAUCAGCAUCAGAAUAUCCUAUCACUCUUAGCUCUAACCCUUCUCCAAAGAUCAGAAAUAAACCCUUAGCACUUCUCAAGUACUUAGAAAUAUUUUUACAAUAAUCCAAUACUCUCAGUCUGGAUUCAACUAAUAUCUGCUCGUGACUCUCACAGCAAGAUAUACCAAAUCGAGUACAUAGCAUGGCAUACACCAAUGCCCAAGAGGAUAACAGAUCUCUUUUGGAGGUUUCAAUGUGGAACCCUUUCAGCAUCUCUUCUAUGUACCUAUUUGUAAAAAUCAAACAUCCUUUUAGAUCUAUCUCUAUAGAUUUUUAUUUCAUAAUAUAAGAUGUUUGUACUAAAUUUUUGAUAAAAAUUCUAUAUGCAACUACAUCAUAACCGAUGUCAGUAUGGAACCCUUCCACUGACCUUCAUGUAAACACAUGAUUCUUCCUCAUUUUUGAUAAAAUCAAAUAAUUUGAUUACAUCAUUAAAACAACUAUUCCAACUCUGAGAUUUUUGCUUAAAUCCAUGAAUGAUCUUUGCAGUGUGAUCUCUGUCACUGAAAGUGAAAUUUAUAAGCCACUAUAUAUAAAUAUCUUCUCAAGAUAUCUAUUUAGUAGGGCUAUCUACACAUCUAUUUUUCAAUAUCGACAUUCAACAUUGUCUUGUUGUAGAUUUUUGUGAUCAUCUUUAUGUUUUCAAUCUUCUUUAAAAAAUAUUUUCUCUUAUUCCUCUGUAAGAAUAUGAAAUACCUUUUAGAAGGAUAGAAGAUCCUACUAGAUCUACGAGGUGGAGGAGAUACUACAUAUACUGGCUCAUCAUAAAAAGUUCUACAAUUCAAUGACUCGUUAUUCCUUAAAGACUCUCUCUUUGAAUUCAUCCUCUCACUGUUUUUAAGAAAACAGCAUGAUUGCUCACAAUCACAUUGUGAACCACUGGGAAGAGAAAGUGACAUCCCAAAUCUUUUAGGAUAUCCCACAAACAAGCUCUAAUAGACCUAUUUUCUAACUUGUCUGCCAUACCAUAUUUCAUAUGGUAUAGUGAAACUAACUUUAGAAGGAAUCUAAUUUAAAUUUCAAAAAUUAAAGCUUGUCCCUAAAAAAACAAAGGUUAAAUCAGUAAAGUUCAUAAUAGAUCGGAUCAUAUCUCAUAUAGUGUCAUUCUUCCUCACAGAUAUUCCGUUGAGCUGAAGUGCACUAGGAGGAUUCCAUUAUGAAACUAUGCCAUUUUUUCAAAAUAAUCGUAAAAUUUUUUAUUUGGUAUUACGUCUUCGAUUUAAUCAAAGUAUCUUUAGAAUUUUUUUGAUUUACUUUUCUACUUUACAUCUAAAGUCUUUGAAUCUUUUAAAGAUUUCAGAUUUGUAUUUCAUAUACAUACCUAUAUCAUGACUGAUCACGAAUAAAGGUAAUGAAGUAGAGAUAACCUUCCUCAUCUGGCUCAUUAAAUGGGCCGCACACAUCAAAUAUGUACUAGAAUAAAUAUCUCAACGGUCCUAUCCCUUUAUCCCAUAAAAGAUAGCUUGAUCAUUAAUCCUCAAAGAGAUGAUUCACAGACUAGAUAUGACUCAACAGUCAAUAAGCUCUAAAACUCAUAUUUUUUCAAUUAGUAAAUCAUUUCUUCUCCUAUAUGACCUAACCUAAGGAACCACCUAUACACUUCAGAUUAUUUGAUUUCUUGAUCUCUCAAAUGUAAUGGCAUUCACUGUUUACUCAAAUAAGUUCACAAAUGCAUCAUCAUGCAAAUGAUAGAGAACUAAAUCUAAAUAGUAAUCAUCGAGGUUAGGUGCCCAGGGCUACAAUAUAAUUUUUGCCCCAUUACCGACUCAAAAGAGUCGCUUCACCUUUCCUCAGCCCUCUUACUUUUCUCAAUACACUAGAGUCUAAUACUCAACUAGAAGAAGAAAAAAUCGUAAGAUCAAAUUUUAAUAACUCGACAUAUCUUCCAAAGGUGUGUCUAUGUUUCUUCAGGCUUUCCAAAUAUGUAUCUCUGAACCUUUCAAGGUCCCUUUAGUUACCAAUAUAUUAACCAAUUCAGUUAAGGAGCUAAAAUGUUUAUUCAUAUAAUAGUUUCACAAAUUACCCAUAUAAAUCAAAAAUUUGCAGGAUCAAAUCUAUUAGUAACUCCUUAUGCAUGAUCAUGUCGAACUUCUCAAGCUCUUCAAUAUCCUUGAUCAUUGUCAAAUAGUGAUCAUGGACAAACUGUCCAUCACGCAUCUCAUGUUCUGUGUGACUCUGAUCAUCUCACAACUGUUGUAGAUGAAUCAGCAUAUCAUUAGCAGUCUAUAUGUCCUUAUGCAUACAUUGAAGUUCAUCAAUCAUGGAUUCUAAUUUAUAGCAUCUAAUCUAAUUGUCAAUAUCCAACCAUUUAUCAAAUAUAGCUUGUUGACUAUGGAUUGAGCAAGCUAAUGACAUUGGGUUAACUUGGUCAAAAACAUGGUUUAAUUUCUAAAGGCCAACAACUAUUCUUAGAUUUCUGAGCUAGAAUAUGUAAUUAGUUUUGGUUCAGUGGUUGAUAUCUAGGAUUCGAGCAGAGAGUUGGAAGCUAAAAUAAUUAACCACAAAAGAGUAAAAAUUUAAUUAGAUGAUUGCACUUGUAAAUGUUUGUUCUAGAGACUUUAAAAAUAAACAAAGGCUCUCACUAAUUUUUUCAGUCUCUCACACUCCUCGAGUGGAGAAACAAAAAUUCUAAUGUGAUAAGUAGUUCUAGUGGGUGCUGUGGUCCCUUCGAUAUACGGCACCUCAUCUAACAGUUAUUGAUGACACAUGCAUCAAUGCGUGGACAACUCUUUAUCCAUAUGCUUCUCCAAGCAUAUUGCAGUGACUUAGUUUUUAAGUCCUAUGGCCUCACCUAAUAGUUCUUGACAUAUUUUUUAGUUAAGUUUGACCUACCAUUCACUAAUGAGUACAAAGCCAUCAUUGGAUCCCUCACCUAACAGUUAUUGGGUCCAACCCCAUCUUUACCUCGGGACAUCUAAUACCAAUAGAGUGGUUGUGCCUUUCCGAUGCAACCGGACCACUGUAACCAUUCGAGAACGAUCAAUACCGAAAAAGGCACCCACAUCUCUACAACAGUAAAAGACCAAUAGACUUAAUAUUUAGUGAGGAGAUUUAGGUUUAGAUCUUUUCUAAUAGUUACAUACAUUUGAUGUAGAUGAUUAAUCUGAUUUAAAUUAGCACAUCAUCUCAUAUCUGACCAAUCUAAUCAGUAUGGGUGAACUCGAGUCAACAAAAAAUCUAAUAUAAAAUAUAAUUUCUCAAAAUGAUCAGGUAAGUAAAGAUGAGUGGGGGUUUCUCCAUUGCUUUCUUAGAUACCAACAAAUUAGCUAGAUCAGACAACAGAACCAAUUAAAGAACCACCAUCUAAGACUUAUCUUGGACAUCAAAUUGGUUGAUUAGAAUCAAUCCAAUUAACCUAUAGACUCGGGCUUGAACCAUUGAGCUAAAUUUGGUCUUGAUUUAAUCAAUUCAUAUCACAUGUGAAUCAAUUUGAUCAACUACAACUAAACUCAAUUUUGAGCCCCUUUGACCUAAUCCUAACCAACUUUUGAUUAGAUUCGAUCAACUACCCAAAAUCAGAAAGGAUUCUAGCCUGAUCUAAUCAAUAACCCUAAUUGUAGUUUAGUCUCUAGACCUAAUUUGUUCAACACAUACCAAAAUCCAUAUUUUAUGCAUUAAAAUUUAGAUCUUAAAUUCAUAAUUUUAGAUCUUUUAAUUUUAAAUUUUAAUUUUUAAUUAGGGGCAUUAUGAAUAUAGAUUUUAGUUUAGAUGUCAAAAUAAUUUCUGAUCUAAACUAUUUGUAUUGUAUCUCAUAUAAUUUUAUUGUUUGCAGAAUCAAGUCGACUCGCUUUGGUACUUGAGUCGACUUGUCAUAGUGAGAUGACUCAACAUUGAGACAAAAAGAAAUUGAUAAAUCUAGCUUGUACUAUUGACUUAGCUCAUCAGCAAAUAAGCUAAUCCAUCAGGAUCUCGAGUUGACUCCAACAAAAAUAAAUCCACUCGCCAAGCACUCAAGUCAACCCAAAUAAGAAUCGAGUCGACUCCACAGGUGUGCCAGUUACAGUUUUAUAGUUUUAUGUAAAUAGAAUUUAAGAUUUUUGGAUCUAAAAUUUUGUAAUUUAUAUGUUUCAGAUCAUGUGUCAAAAACUAUAUAUCACAUAUAUCAUUUACUGAUCUAAAACACAUAUCUUAAUACAUGCAUAAAUAAAUCUAAAUCUAAAAUAUGUAUUACAUAUAAUUUUUCUUUUGCUGUUCAUCUUCAUAGGAAAUAUUACAAUCAGCAUCCCUACACGUCAUAAGAGAACCCGUUGAAUGAGCGAUAGAGGGAUUUUAAUCACUUCUUCCUCUUAUGAUUAGAUGGCCAUGGUGAUUAUCCCAAUUCGAUUACUAAGCUACUAAAAGAUUAAUCUAACAUAUCAUGUAUGUAAUCAAUUAAAAUUUGAAUCUAAUUAUCUUUCACAUGUCAAAUAUAUAAUAAUAAUUUAAAUCUAUGCAUACAAGCAUAUAUCGCAUAUAUGAAAUAAUUUUAGCAACCAUACUAGAUCCAAAUUAAACCCUAAUUAACGUAUUCAGAUCUGAAACUAAUUUCAGAUCUGAAUUACUCAUGAUUUUUUUUAAAUCUAAAAUAAUUUUAGAUCCAAAACAAUCCUGUAAUCACAUUACAACAUGCAAAAAUUUAAGAUCUACCAUUAAUUAAUGUUCUACACCGUUCUAAGAUAACCUUUUAGCAUAAUAGAAUUAUGCCAAAACAACCUUAUUUCAGAACGAUGUCUAGCAUCUAACUAAUCUUUAGAUCUAAUUUCUGUAAAUCAAAUUUUAGAUCUAAGGAAUUUUAUGUUCGUAUCAGAACCUGUGGCUCUGAUACCAUUGUUAGAAAGCAGUGGUUUCAUAUGUGUAGUUUAAAAUAUUUUCAUAAAUAUUUUAUGUGCAGUGAAAGUAAAUUAAAUUAAAAUCUUUUAAUUUAAAAUACACCAGAUCUCAUCUGUAAAUCACGUACUAGAUCUUGAUGCGAACAUAUCACCAUGAUCUAAAAUCUAAAAUCAAAAAUAAAAAUCAUCAGAAAAAAAAUCAAACAUCUAAUCUCCAUACUUUCGGAUCCUGUAGAUAUCCAGGGUUCAAGUCGUAGCUACGCAAGCUUCCGACCUCUGCUGGUAUCCACAUGAAGAUAUCUGAUCAAAGCACCAAGACUACCGAUGUGCUAGCACCUAGCAGGCCUCGCUUCUCAACUUUGGAUCUAAAUCCUCUUCUAGAACUCGAAGAAGAUGAAAGGUUCGCGCAGAUCUAAAGGGCUCUGAACCAGACCAUCAUGAAGAGAAGAAGAACCUUUCUUCUUCUCUUCCUCUCUCCAAAAUCUCUCUUUUAGAUCUGAUCUCAUCAGAUCAUGGGGCGUGUAGAAGAAGAAAAGUGGAAGGGAGGCAUUAAGAAGGUGCCCUUUGGCAAGAAAGAAAACUCCUCUUUUAUUCGCGCACGCCUCACCCCUUUCUCCAUAUUUUUGUCACACAAAAAUAGGUCCAACGCCCUUCCUUUUCAGAUAUUAUCUCUUUCUUAAUUUGAAUCAAAUUCAAAUAGAAAGAGAGACCAAGAUAAGGAAGGAUGACUAAUAGAUGAGGGGCGCCAACUAUUGGCAUCCCUUUUCUAUUCAUUCACACAAGAGCGCAUCUCCUUCUCUUCUUAAUUUUUGUCUCACAUAAAUAAAAUCCCACAUCCAUAUUAGAUAAGGAUCUGAUCUUAAUUUGAAUCAAAUUCAAAAGAAAAAAGAAAUAAAUCAUCAAGAGAUAGAAUCCCAGAUGAGUGGGGCACCAACUAUUGGCGCCCUUUCCUUUCA
This 8160-nucleotide long non-coding RNA is filed under the name Elaeis guineensis (African oil palm). RNAcentral's name for it is "long non-coding RNA (EGUI_LNC012375)". Lineage: Eukaryota; Viridiplantae; Streptophyta; Magnoliopsida; Arecales; Arecaceae. The record is from RNAcentral.